CAGCCGCCGCGGUAAUACGAAGGGUGCAAGCGUUACUCGGAAUUACUGGGCGUAAAGCGUGCGUAGGUGGUGGUUUAAGUCCGUUGUGAAAGCCCUGGGCUCAACCUGGGAAUUGCAGUGGAUACUGGGUCACUAGAGUGUGGUAGAGGAUAGUGGAAUUUCCGGUGUAGCAGUGAAAUGCGUAGAGAUCGGAAGGAACAUCUGUGGCGAAGGCGACUAUCUGGGCCAACACUGACACUGAGGCACGAAAGCGUGGGGAGCAAACAGGAUUAGAUACCCCAGUAGUCCCUGUCUCUUAUCC
This 301-nucleotide ribosomal RNA is filed under the name uncultured bacterium. Its description in RNAcentral is "partial 16S ribosomal RNA". It matches the Rfam family "Bacterial small subunit ribosomal RNA", at positions 509 to 809 of the family's 1533-position model. The record is from RNAcentral.